This 465-nucleotide ribosomal RNA is filed under the name uncultured Klebsiella sp. RNAcentral describes it as "bacterial SSU rRNA". It matches the Rfam family "Bacterial small subunit ribosomal RNA", at positions 338 to 795 of the family's 1533-position model. The record is from RNAcentral. Lineage: Bacteria; Pseudomonadati; Pseudomonadota; Gammaproteobacteria; Enterobacterales; Enterobacteriaceae.
CCUACGGGGGGCAGCAGUGGGGAAUAUUGCACAAUGGGCGCAAGCCUGAUGCAGCCAUGCCGCGUGUGUGAAGAAGGCCUUCGGGUUGUAAAGCACUUUCAGCGGGGAGGAAGGCGGUGAGGUUAAUAACCUCAUCGAUUGACGUUACCCGCAGAAGAAGCACCGGCUAACUCCGUGCCAGCAGCCGCGGUAAUACGUAGGGUGCAAGCGUUAAUCGGAAUUACUGGGCGUAAAGCGCACGCAGGCGGUCUGUCAAGUCGGAUGUGAAAUCCCCGGGCUCAACCUGGGAACUGCAUUCGAAACUGGCAGGCUAGAGUCUUGUAGAGGGGGGUAGAAUUCCAGGUGUAGCGGUGAAAUGCGUAGAGAUCUGGAGGAAUACCGGUGGCGAAGGCGGCCCCCUGGACAAAGACUGACGCUCAGGUGCGAAAGCGUGGGGAGCAAACAGGAUUAGAUACCCCUGUAGUC